GGGGAUAACUACUGGAAACGGUAGCUAAUACCGCAUAACGUCGCAAGACCAAAGAGGGGGACCUUCGGGCCUCUUGCCAUCGGAUAUGCCCAGAUGGGAUUAGCUAGUAGGUGGGGUAACGGCUCACCUAGGCGACGAUCCCUAGCUGGUCUGAGAGGAUGACCAGCCACACUGGAACUGAGACACGGUCCAGACUCCUACGGGAGGCAGCAGUGGGGAAUAUUGCACAAUGGGCGCAAGCCUGAUGCGGCCAUGCCGCGUGUAUGAAGAAGGCCUUCGGGUUGUAAAGUACUUUCAGCGGGGAGGAAGGGAGUAAAGUUAAUACCUUUGCUCAUUGACGUUACCCGCAGAAGAAGCACCGGCUAACUCCGUGCCAGCAGCCGCGGUAAUACGGAGGGUGCAAGCGUUAAUCGGAAUUACUGGGCGUAAAGCGCACGCAGGCGGUUUGUUAAGUCAGAUGUGAAAUCCCCGGGCUCAACCUGGGAACUGCAUCUGAUACUGGCAAGCUUGAGUCUCGUAGAGGGGGGUAGAAUUCCAGGUGUAGCGGUGAAAUGCGUAGAGAUCUGGAGGAAUACCGGUGGCGAAGGCGGCCCCCUGGACGAAGACUGACGCUCAGGUGCGAAAGCGUGGGGAGCAAACAGGAUUAGAUACCCU
This 654-nucleotide ribosomal RNA is filed under the name uncultured bacterium. RNAcentral describes it as "bacterial SSU rRNA". It matches the Rfam family "Bacterial small subunit ribosomal RNA", at positions 139 to 788 of the family's 1533-position model. The record is from RNAcentral.